This 75-nucleotide transfer RNA is filed under the name Candidatus Omnitrophota bacterium. Its description in RNAcentral is "Candidatus Omnitrophica bacterium tRNA-Met". It matches the Rfam family "tRNA". Rfam says of the family: Transfer RNA (tRNA) molecules are approximately 80 nucleotides in length. Their secondary structure includes four short double-helical elements and three loops (D, anti-codon, and T loops). Further hydrogen bonds mediate the characteristic L-shaped molecular structure. tRNAs have two regions of fundamental functional importance: the anti-codon, which is responsible for specific mRNA codon recognition, and the 3' end, to which the tRNAs corresponding amino acid is attached (by aminoacyl-tRNA synthetases). tRNAs cope with the degeneracy of the genetic code in two manners: having more than one tRNA (with a specific anti-codon) for a particular amino acid; and 'wobble' base-pairing, i.e. permitting non-standard base-pairing at the 3rd anti-codon position. RNAcentral also lists the same sequence under 1 other name. The record is from RNAcentral. Lineage: Bacteria; Pseudomonadati; Candidatus Omnitrophota.
CGCGGGGUGGAGCAGGGGUAGCUCGUGAGGCUCAUAACCUCAAGGUCGGCGGUUCGAUUCCGUCCCCCGCAACCA